This is a long non-coding RNA of Dreissena polymorpha, 378 nucleotides long. RefSeq lists it as uncharacterized. NCBI's taxonomy places the organism in Eukaryota, Metazoa, Mollusca, Bivalvia, Myida, Dreissenidae. The record is from RefSeq and is a predicted model, not a curated record. The transcript is spliced from 3 exons.
GGAACAUUCAAGCUGGUCAUUCUCGUUACAACCCACCAAAGUCAACUGCACCGGAAGAUAGUAUACAAGCAGGAUUGCCUAGGCACAGCAAACCGCAGACACCGGGGGACACUCAAGCUGGUCAUUCUCGUUACAACCCACCAAAGUCAACUGCACCGGAAGAUAGUAUACAAGCAGGAUUGCCUAGCAAACCGCAGAUACCGGGGGACACUCAAGCUGGUCAUUCUCGUUACAACCCACAAAAGUCAACUGCACCGGAAUAUAGUGUACAAACAGGAUUUCCUAGGUAAAAAGCUUUAGUACAAUCCAUUGUUUUAGAACAAACGGUACAUUAUUUUCGACAAACGUGGACCUAACUGUGACAGUUUCGUUUUGCUC